This is a non-coding RNA of Bacillus solimangrovi, 168 nucleotides long. The record is from Rfam. NCBI's taxonomy places the organism in Bacteria, Bacillati, Bacillota, Bacilli, Caryophanales, Bacillaceae.
UAUGUAGUGACGCGGAACUUGAGGGGAGAGGGCGGUAAACUUCUAGUCUGAGGAACACAAACUUCAUAAGAGUAUAGCUAUCGUUGGAUGAGUUUGCAAAACAAAGUCUAUCCUGCCAAAGGUGAUACAGAAUAAAUGAUGCAGAUAGGUGAAAGGAAAGGUUGUAUG